UACGAGUGGUGCAAACGUUAUUCGGAAUCAUUGGGCGUAAAGGGCGUGUAGACGGUAUGUUUAGUCUAUUGUUAAAUCCUUCGGCUUAACCGAAGACCAGCAGUAGAUACUGGCAUGCUAGAGGGUGGAAGAGAGAAGUGGAAUUCUCGGAGUAGCGGUAAAAUGCGUAGAUCUCGAGAGGAACACCAAUGGCGAAGGCAGCUUCUUGGUCCACUCCUGACGUUGAGGCGCGAAAGCGUGGGGAGCAAACAGGAUUAGAUACCCUGGUAGUCCACGCUGUAAACGAUGAUCACUGGACGUUAGUCUCGUUUUACGGGAUUAGUGUCGAAGCUAACGCGUUAAGUGAUUCGCCUGGGAAGUACGAUCGCAAGAUUAAA
RNAcentral lists this ribosomal RNA (377 nucleotides) under uncultured bacterium. Its description in RNAcentral is "bacterial SSU rRNA". It matches the Rfam family "Bacterial small subunit ribosomal RNA", at positions 524 to 898 of the family's 1533-position model. The record is from RNAcentral.